UACGUAGGGUGCAAGCGUUUGUCCGGAAUUAUUGGGCGUAAAGAGCUUGUAGGCGGUUUGUCGCGUCUGCUGUGAAAUUUCGGGGCUCAACCCCGAACUUGCAGUGGGUACGGGCAGACUAGAGUGUGGUAGGGGGAGACUGGAAUUCCUGGUGUAGCGGUGAAAUGCGCAGAUAUCAGGAGGAACACCGAUGGCGAAGGCAGGUCUCUGGGCCAUAACUGACGCUGAGGAGCGAAAGCGUGGGGAGCGAACAGG
RNAcentral lists this ribosomal RNA (255 nucleotides) under uncultured bacterium. RNAcentral's name for it is "partial 16S ribosomal RNA". It matches the Rfam family "Bacterial small subunit ribosomal RNA", at positions 524 to 776 of the family's 1533-position model. The record is from RNAcentral.